CGGGUGUAGACGAGGCGGGCCCUGCGAGAGAAGUGCCGGGGAAGGGAGACGGCGUUCAGCUCUGAUCCUCCCCCUUGCCUCGCUCUGCCUGAUCUUGGACUGAAACACCGAAAGCAAAGAGACAGGUGGCAGCGGAACUCACACUUACUGAACAACUUAUCUUCUAUGUGUCAGAAACAGCUCUAGAUACUUGGUAUUUGCCUUCCAUUUCAUCUUCUCAACAACCACACAAAAUCCUUCUGCUGAAAGUUCAAUUUGUGCCACCUGAAGCCUUCCAAGCUACUCUAGUCCUCAGUAAUAACUUCAUACUUGGGCCUGUAUGGUUUGAAUCCUACUUUAG
This 340-nucleotide long non-coding RNA is filed under the name Equus asinus (donkey). RNAcentral describes it as "lncRNA (ENSEASG00005034746.1)". Lineage: Eukaryota; Metazoa; Chordata; Mammalia; Perissodactyla; Equidae. The record is from RNAcentral.